UACCCGACGGUGGGGAAUAACUGCCCGAAAGNCCUUUUNAAAACCGCAUACGUCCAUUGGAGUAGUCCAGUGGGGAAAACCGCAAGGUGCCGAUGGAGCGGCCCGCGUUCNAUUAGCUAGUUGGUGGUGUAACGGCCUACCAAGGCGACGAUCGAUAGCUGGUCUCAGAGGAUGAUCAGCCAGACUGGGACUGAGAGACGGCCCAGACUCCUACGGGAGGCAGCNGUUAGGAAUUUUGGGCAAUGGGCGCAAGCCUGACCCAGCAACGCCGCGUGGGUGACGAAGGCCUUCGGGUUGUAAAGCCCUUUUCUGAGGGAAGAUGAUGACGGUACCUCANGAAGAAGNACCGGCUAACUACGUGCCAGCAGCCGCGGUAAUACGUACGGUGCGAGCGUUGCCCGGAUUUAUUGGGCCGUAAAGGGCGCGUANGCGGUCACGCNCGUCCNUUGUGAAAUCGCCUUCG
RNAcentral lists this ribosomal RNA (463 nucleotides) under uncultured bacterium. Its description in RNAcentral is "bacterial SSU rRNA". It matches the Rfam family "Bacterial small subunit ribosomal RNA", at positions 127 to 608 of the family's 1533-position model. The record is from RNAcentral.